ACAAGACUUUGGUAGUGACAGCCCUUUAUCAGUGGUGUGACAACCUCCCCACAUCUUCAGGGAUGCCUGACACACUGAUCUGUCCCUCUCUGUGCCCCUCCCCAUUGGAUGUCUCUUCCAUGAGGACAGGCAGGCUGUCUCCUCUGGGCACUACUCUCUUGGGAAGACAGGAGCUGCUCUAUGAGCACCUGACCCAGGAGGGAAAAAGCAGGCUGUGUCUCCCACUGAGAGUUCCCAUGGGCCUCCUCACAACUCAGAUUUCAGCUUGUGCACCUACCUGCUGUCUAACCCUUCAGGGCCCCUGCCUGGGUCUCCUCCUGCCCCUGCCACUCACCUCCCAUACGGCAGGCUGAGCCAUCCCCUCAGACUCACUGGGUCCCCUGAGCACCAGCUGAGUCCCCACCAUUGAGGCUCCACCAGGCAGAGAGCAGGCUGCUCUCCACCUCUUGUGUGCUGGGUCCCAGGGAGGGGAUGGAGGCAGGGCUGAGACAGAGAGGGAAUGGCUGUGCAUUCUCUGAGGGGCUGACUCUGUCCUCUGACAUCCUGAAUGCUCCUCACAGCACCAAAGCCUUGUCCAUGGCCCUCUGGUCCUCCUUUCUUCUUUGCCAGGCUAAGCCCUAAGAUUUCUGCUCUCAAGCCAGAAUCAUAAGUUGUAUGGGGCCAUGGUUUUGCCUGCUCCUUCCCAUUGACUAAGCCCCAGCUCCAUGCUGUUUUUGGAGCAGGAAACUCACUCCUUCCUCAAAGAAAUUCA
Molecule: non-coding RNA, 751 nt
Organism: Vicugna pacos (alpaca)
Lineage: Eukaryota; Metazoa; Chordata; Mammalia; Artiodactyla; Camelidae
Source: RefSeq, a predicted model, not a curated record